UGCUGCAGGUUUGGCUGUGAGUCUGAGGGAGGCUCUCGUGGUUCCGCGCGCAGCUCUUUCAACGGCUGCUGGGAGCUGUGAGGAGAGCGGGCGAGCUCGGAAUCCGCGCAAUGGCUGCAGUGACCUAUGAGGAUGUGCAUGUGAACUUCACUCAUGAAGAGUGGGCUUUGCUGGAUCCUUCCCAGAAGAGUCUCUACAAAGAUGUGAUGCUAGAAACAUGCAGGAACCUCACUGCUAUAGGGUAUGGAUUGGAAGACCAUAAUAUUGAAGAACACUAUCAAAAUUCUGGAAGACAUUGGAGGUAUAACAUCCGUCAUUGUGGAUACAAGCCCUGUGAGAAUAAGGGCCAUGGAAAGAAGCAAUGUACCUUUGCAUGUAACAAUUUUCUUCAAACAUAUGAAAG
This 403-nucleotide long non-coding RNA is filed under the name Rattus norvegicus (Norway rat). Its description in RNAcentral is "long non-coding RNA NONRATT026421". The record is from RNAcentral. Lineage: Eukaryota; Metazoa; Chordata; Mammalia; Rodentia; Muridae.